GCCCGGGAGAGUUCUCUUUUCUUCUGAAUGGAGCGUGUUUCCACCGAGUUCGCGUCAAGCGGUGACCUGGAAGCAGCUCCAGCAGAGUCCAGCAUCUGCGCUGGACAGGGAAACCUGCGUCCGUCUACGAAAAAGCCAGUGGCGUCGUAUUUCCCGAUGUCGCGCCGUACCCAUAUCCGCAUCUGGUCCCCAAGCUUUGAAAGCUCUAGCCAGUAGAACAA
RNAcentral lists this ribosomal RNA (221 nucleotides) under Gambierdiscus australes. RNAcentral's name for it is "partial Eukaryotic large subunit ribosomal RNA". It matches the Rfam family "Eukaryotic large subunit ribosomal RNA", at positions 1679 to 1898 of the family's 3401-position model. Lineage: Eukaryota; Dinophyceae; Gonyaulacales; Pyrocystaceae. The record is from RNAcentral.